AGUAGUUUGAUCAGUGGCUCGAGGAGACGCUGGCGGCGUGCUUAACACAUGCAAGUCGAACGGUAAGGCCCUUCGGGAUACACGAGUGGCGAACGGGUGAGUAACACGUGGGUGAUCUGCCCUGCACUUCGGGAUAAGCUUGGGAAACUGGGUCUAAUACCGGAUAGGACCACGGUCUGCAUGGAUUGUGGUGGAAAGCUUUUGCGGUGUGGGAUGGGCCCGCGGCCUAUCAGCUUGUUGGUGGGGUGAUGGCCUACCAAGGCGACGACGGGUAGCCGGCCUGAGAGGGUGUCCGGCCACACUGGGACUGAGAUACGGCCCAGACUCCUACGGGAGGCAGCAGUGGGGAAUAUUGCACAAUGGGCGCAAGCCUGAUGCAGCGACGCCGCGUGGGGGAUGACGGCCUUCGGGUUGUAAACCUCUUUCAGCAGGGACGAAGGGUGACUGACGGUACCUGUAGAAGAAGCACCGGCCAACUACGUG
This 483-nucleotide ribosomal RNA is filed under the name uncultured bacterium. RNAcentral's name for it is "bacterial SSU rRNA". It matches the Rfam family "Bacterial small subunit ribosomal RNA", at positions 1 to 507 of the family's 1533-position model. The record is from RNAcentral.